This 22-nucleotide non-coding RNA is filed under the name Arabidopsis thaliana (thale cress). Lineage: Eukaryota; Viridiplantae; Streptophyta; Magnoliopsida; Brassicales; Brassicaceae. The record is from RNAcentral.
UUGAAUGUCAAUGGUCCUAGAG